UCAUGUGAUACCAUACGAGAACGACAUUAGAAGCAGUGUACCAUACCAUAAGGAAAACAGCAUUAUUGGCUACAGGUCUCUUAUCUUCAGUGGUGAUCAUGAUAUGGUGUCGCCUACCAUUGCAACUCAAGCCUGGAUAAAAUCUCUCAAUUAUUCCAUCAUUCAUGACUGGCAGCCUUGGACGAUAAACUAUGAGAUCGCUGGAUACACGAGGACUUAUUCGAAUAAGAUGACAUUUGCUACUGUCA
Camelina sativa (false flax) is the source of this 248-nucleotide non-coding RNA. The record is from RefSeq and is a predicted model, not a curated record. NCBI's taxonomy places the organism in Eukaryota, Viridiplantae, Streptophyta, Magnoliopsida, Brassicales, Brassicaceae.